CCUUACCAGGUCUUGACAUCCUUUGACCACUCGAGAGAUCGAGCUUUCCCUUCGGGGACAAAGUGACAGGUGGUGCAUGGUUGUCGUCAGCUCGUGUCGUGAGAUGUUGGGUUAAGUCCCGCAACGAGCGCAACCCUUAUUACUAGUUGCCAGCAUUCAGUUGGGCACUCUAGUGAGACUGCCGGUGACAAACCGGAGGAAGGUGGGGAUGACGUCAAAUCAUCAUGCCCCUUAUGACCUGGGCUACACACGUGCUACAAUGGAUGGUACAACGAGUCGCGAAGUCGUGAGGCCAAGCUAAUCUCUUAAAGCCAUUCUCAGUUCGGAUUGUAGGCUGCAACUCGCCUACA
RNAcentral lists this ribosomal RNA (350 nucleotides) under uncultured bacterium. Its description in RNAcentral is "bacterial SSU rRNA". It matches the Rfam family "Bacterial small subunit ribosomal RNA", at positions 969 to 1320 of the family's 1533-position model. The record is from RNAcentral.